CCUACGGGAGGCAGCAGUGGGGAAUAUUGCACAAUGGGGGAAACCCUGAUGCAGCGACGCCGCGUGAGUGAAGAAGUAAUUCGUUAUGUAAAGCUCUAUCAGCAGGGAAGAAAAUGACGGUACCUGAGUAAGAAGCCCCGGCUAACUACGUGCCAGCAGCCGCGGUACUACGUAGGGGGCAAGCGUUAUCCGGAUUUACUGGGUGUAAAGGGAGCGUAGACGGCAGUGCAAGUCUGGAGUGAAAGGCGGGGGCUCAACCCCCGGACUGCUCUGGAAACUGUACGGCUGGAGUGCAGGAGAGGUAAGUGGAAUUCCUAGUGUAGCGGUGAAAUGCGUAGAUAUUAGGAGGAACACCAGUGGCGAAGGCGGCUUACUGGACUGUAACUGACGUUGAGGCACGAAAGCGUGGGGAGCAAACAGGAUUAGAUACCCGUGUAGUC
This 440-nucleotide ribosomal RNA is filed under the name uncultured bacterium. RNAcentral's name for it is "partial 16S ribosomal RNA". It matches the Rfam family "Bacterial small subunit ribosomal RNA", at positions 338 to 795 of the family's 1533-position model. The record is from RNAcentral.